GACGAACGCUGGCGGCGUGCUUAACACAUGCAAGUCGAGCGGAAAGGCCACUUCGGUGGUACUCGAGCGGCGAACGGGUGAGUGACACGUGAGUAAUCUGCCCUUCACUCUGGGAUAGCCACCGGAAACGGUGAUUAAUACCGGAUACGACCACUCCACGCACGUGGUGGUGGUGGAAACUUUUUGGGUGGGGGAUGUGCUCGCGGCCUAUCAGCUUGUGGGUGGGGUAAUGGCCUACCGAGGCUUCGACGGGUAGCCGGCCUGAGAGGGUGACCGGCCACACUGGGACUGAGACACGGCCCAGACUCCUACGGGAGGCGGCGGUGGGGAAUAUUGGACAAUGGGCGGAAGCCUGAUCCAGCAACGCCGCGUGAGGGAUGACGGCCUUCGGGUUGUAAACCUCUUUCAGCACCGACGAAGCGCAAGUGACGGUAGGUGCAGAAGAAGGACCGGCCAACUACGUGCCAGCCGCCGCCGUAA
This 480-nucleotide ribosomal RNA is filed under the name uncultured bacterium. RNAcentral's name for it is "partial 16S ribosomal RNA". It matches the Rfam family "Bacterial small subunit ribosomal RNA", at positions 28 to 523 of the family's 1533-position model. The record is from RNAcentral.